This 781-nucleotide long non-coding RNA is filed under the name Phasianus colchicus (ring-necked pheasant). Its description in RNAcentral is "lncRNA (ENSPCLG00000014069.1)". The record is from RNAcentral. Lineage: Eukaryota; Metazoa; Chordata; Aves; Galliformes; Phasianidae.
UUAUAAAGGAAGUUAACACUUAAAAAUUUUAUUGUGCCACAUGUAUUGGAACUGUUAGGCCACAACCUGAAGGAGUGAUUGAGCAGCUGGUGAAGAGGCGUGGCCAGUCCCAGGAGCACAAGUGGAAGCGGUUAACCUUUGUGACCCUAACCUCAUUUAAAGGCUGGAUGCCACAAGGGAAGUGUCUCAACUUAGAGAUGACCUCCUUUGGAGUGUUUGCUAAGCCCUGAUCCUUAAAAAGGGACUCUAUUGUAAUACUAGAAGCAUCCCCAGACCAUUUUGCUGACUUCUGAACUCAUGGUGGAAAGAGAGGAAGAAGUCUAGAGUCCUCCAAGUUGUAGUGGUAUCUGUGUCAGUAUAAGGAAGAAAAAAAUGCGAAACUGGAAUCCAAACAAAUGGACAAUCUAUUGGUUCAUAACUAGAUUGAGAACUACUGAGGGAUCAAAUGAACCAAACUGGAUGGAGGGAUUAUUGCUGACGUGAAAGCUUAUGGCCUAUAUAGAAAGCUUUUUUGUGGCUUUUCUGUAUGGCAUCACAGGAAAAGUAACUUUUAAAUCUGAUCCCCUGGUUGGAAAUGAGCCAGUUUGGGUACUUGCAGCUCAGAAAGCCAACUGUCUCCUGGGCUUCAUCAGAAGUGUGACUAUCAGGAUAAGAAAGGUGAUCCUGUCCCUCUGUUCCACUCCUGUGGGAUCCCACCUUGAGCCCUGAGGCUCCUAACAUAAGAGAACAUGAACUUGUAGUGAGUCCAGAGGUGGGCUGCAAAAAUAACCAGAGGGCUCCA